CACAAACUUAGUACGUUAAAAGAUUUGCAAAUCAAGUUAUCAAAAAAGGCUAAAUAUUUAGAAAUUAUAAGUAAUUCGUUCUUGAGAAGAAAAGUACCAAACCAGACUCAAAAUCUUGGGAAAAACACUCAGCUGCUUAUUUAUUUCACUAUCUUUGUAACACACAAUUAAUGGGAAAAAUGACUUAAUUAGGCCAGUGGUAAUAGAUGGAUCCAUCAUAGAACUUGAGAAAUCAUUGAACCAAAUAACACCAAUGUAGCAUAAUUAGCAUAUAAUCCAAAAGGCUCGAAAACAACACUCUAUAUCUUUAGCAAACGUGAGAACAAAAUUAAAACGAGUUCACUCAAAUAACUUCGACACGAAUGAACAAAGAGUUUGAAUUAGACCUUGAUAAGCUUUCAAAAUUGUGUCUCCGUUUAGCAGGUGUAUACAAGCAAUAUUGCUGAGAUUCAAACAACCACGGAGGUUUGGUAACUCGGACUUGGCCGGAAAUAAUGGACGACACCUCGGUCGGGAUCAACGAACGACAACCUUGGAUUUUCGCAGAAAACGAAUUUGAACUUCAAAUAAGUUAACAAAGGCCGGAACGGACUGUUUUUAGGCAAAAUGAAGACUCUCCGGUGAUGAAAUCCGGCUGAACCAACAAAAGGAGCACUCAAACAGAAAAUCAGUAGAGACAAUCGAGGUUGCCAGAUCUCGUCACUUCCGGCAAUGUAACAGUGAAAAAGAGAGAGAAAGGGGAAGCAACGAGAGCAACCUUAUAGCAGUGUUCUCCGAGUUCAAGCGGAGGGUCGCUGGAUUCAAUGGAAAUCAGUCACCUCCGGCGACUUUACCAUAUAGCACGACGAAGGGAAAAGGGAUGAGGGCGAUGGCAACUUUGGAGUUUUUUUUUGUUAUUUUAGCUUGAAAAUAUCUUCAUGAAGAAGAUGACGAUCAUUGCAAGUUUUUUUUUCUCUUUCUGUUUUGGCGUUUUCUUUCUUUAUUUCGUCCGUUUUUUUGUAUUUUUUUUUCGGAUAUCUUUUUUUUGUCUCUUUUUCUCUUUGUAUAUAGAAUGGUUUUAU
This 1061-nucleotide long non-coding RNA is filed under the name Nicotiana benthamiana. RNAcentral describes it as "long non-coding RNA (NBEN_LNC031495)". Lineage: Eukaryota; Viridiplantae; Streptophyta; Magnoliopsida; Solanales; Solanaceae. The record is from RNAcentral.